GACGAACGCUGGCGGCGUGCCUAACACAUGCAAGUCGAGCGGAGUUGGAAGAAGCUGCAGAGAUGUAGCGGGAGCCGACUUAGCGGCGAACGGGUGAGUAACACGUGGGCAAUCUGCCCUCUGGAGCGGGAUAACAGACCGAAAGGCCUGCUAAUACCGCAUGAGGCCUAGGAGUCGCAUGGCAUUUAGGUCAAAGGGGAAACCCGCCGGAGGAGGAGCCCGCGUCCCAUUAGCUAGUUGGCGGUGUAACUGACCACCAAGGCGAUGAUGGGUAGCCGGCCUGAGAGGAUGAUCAGCCACACUGGGACUGAGACACGGCCCAGACUCCUACGGGAGGCAGCAGUGGGGAAUAUUGGUCAAUGGGCGUAAGCCUGAACCAGCCAUCCCGCGUGAAGGAAGACGGCGCUAUGCGUUGUAAACUUCUUUUCCGGAGGAAUAAAAUUUCGUACGUGUACGGAACUGAAGGUACUCCGGGAAUAAGCAUCGGCUAACUCCGUGCC
Molecule: ribosomal RNA, 500 nt
Filed under: uncultured bacterium
Lineage: Bacteria
Description: bacterial SSU rRNA
Rfam family: Bacterial small subunit ribosomal RNA
Source: RNAcentral